This 250-nucleotide ribosomal RNA is filed under the name uncultured bacterium. Its description in RNAcentral is "partial 16S ribosomal RNA". It matches the Rfam family "Bacterial small subunit ribosomal RNA", at positions 524 to 773 of the family's 1533-position model. The record is from RNAcentral.
UACGUAGGGGGCAAGCGUUGUCCGGAAUUAUUGGGCGUAAAGGGUGCGUAGGCGGCCUUUUAAGUCAGAUGUGAAAGCCCACGGCUUAACCGUGGGACUGCAUUUGAAACUGGAGGGCUUGAGUAUCGGAGAGGGUAGUGGAAUUCCCAGUGUAGCGGUGGAAUGCGUAGAUAUUGGGAGGAACACCAGUGGCGAAGGCGACUACCUGGACGAAAACUGACGCUGAGGCACGAAAGCUAGGGGAGCAAAC